GACGAACCGUGCAAACGUUAUUCGGAAUCACUGGGCUUAAAGGGUGCGUAGGCGGGUUGCCAAGUCUGUGGUGAAAUCCUUCAGCUUAACUGGAGAACUGCCGUGGAUACUGGCGACCUCGAGGGGUGUAGGGGCUUGCGGAACUGUGCGUGGAGCGGUGAAAUGCGUUGAUAUGCACAGGAACUCCGGUGGCGAAAGCGGCGAGCUGGACACCUUCUGACGCUGAGGCGCGAAAGCGUGGGGAGCAAACAGG
Molecule: ribosomal RNA, 253 nt
Filed under: uncultured bacterium
Lineage: Bacteria
Description: partial 16S ribosomal RNA
Rfam family: Bacterial small subunit ribosomal RNA
Source: RNAcentral